CACCUGUUUAUCAAAAACAUGGUUUUUUGAUAAUAAUUUAAAAUUGUUUUCUGCUCUAUGAGAUUAUAUUUUAAAUGGCUGCAGUAUAUUGACUGUACUAAGGUAGCAUAAUCAAUUGCUUUUUAAAUGAAAGCUUGGAUGAAAGAAUUGAUGAAAUUUUUACUGUCUUAAAUUUAAAUAUUUAAUUUAUUAAUUAAGUAAAAAUACUUAAGUAAUAUUAUGGGACGAUAAGACCCUAUAGAAUUUAAUAUAAAGAUAAUUUAAUUUUGGGUUAAUAAAGUUGAUUUUUUAUAUUUAGUUGGGAGGAUUGUUAAAUUUUAUAAACUUUAAUUAUGAGUGAGAAUAUUGAUGAAUAAAGGAUAAAGGAGUGGUUAAUAAAUUUAAUAAGAAUUAAUUACCUUAGGGAUAACAGCGUAAUAUUUUUAGAGAGAUCUUAUCAAUAAAAAUGAUUGCGACCUCGAUGUUGAAUUAAAAUAAAAAUUAAAUGUAGAUAUUUAAUAUUUAAGUCCU
This 510-nucleotide ribosomal RNA is filed under the name Harpagoxenus sublaevis. RNAcentral's name for it is "partial 16S large subunit ribosomal RNA". The record is from RNAcentral. Lineage: Eukaryota; Metazoa; Arthropoda; Insecta; Hymenoptera; Formicidae.